GGGGUUGUGGCUCAGUGAUAGAGCGCUUGCCUAGCAUGUAUGAGGCACUGGGUUCAAUUCUCAGCACCA
Molecule: transfer RNA, 69 nt
Filed under: Ictidomys tridecemlineatus (thirteen-lined ground squirrel)
Lineage: Eukaryota; Metazoa; Chordata; Mammalia; Rodentia; Sciuridae
Description: Spermophilus tridecemlineatus (thirteen-lined ground squirrel) tRNA
Rfam family: tRNA
About the family: Transfer RNA (tRNA) molecules are approximately 80 nucleotides in length. Their secondary structure includes four short double-helical elements and three loops (D, anti-codon, and T loops).
Source: Rfam by way of RNAcentral